RNAcentral lists this ribosomal RNA (617 nucleotides) under Genypterus chilensis (red cusk-eel). RNAcentral describes it as "partial 16S ribosomal RNA". It matches the Rfam family "Bacterial large subunit ribosomal RNA", at positions 1797 to 2619 of the family's 2925-position model. The record is from RNAcentral. Lineage: Eukaryota; Metazoa; Chordata; Actinopteri; Ophidiiformes; Ophidiidae.
CGCCUGUUUAUCAAAAACAUCGCCUCUUGCAAAAACAAAGAAUAAGAGGUCCUGCCUGCCCUGUGAUUAUAAAUUUAACGGCCGCGGUAUUUUGACCGUGCGAAGGUAGCGCAAUCACUUGUCUCUUAAAUAGAGACCCGUAUGAAAGGCAAGACGAGGGUUUAACUGUCUCCCUUUUUGAGUCAAUGAAAUUGAUCUCCCCGUGCAGAAGCGGGGAUAAACACAUUAGACGAGAAGACCCUAUGGAGCUUUAGACACUAAAGCAGCCCACGUUAAGCACCCUUGAUUAAAAGACCAAACUAAUUGUAAUCUGCCCUACUGUCUUCGGUUGGGGCGACCACGGGGAAAAACAAAACCCCCAUGAGGAAUGGAAGCACAAUCCUCCCAAACCAAGAGUAACAACUCUAAGAAUCAGAAUUUCUGACUAAUCUGAUCCGGCAAAGCCGAUUAACGAACCAAGUUACCCUAGGGAUAACAGCGCAAUCCCCUUUUAGAGUCCAUAUCGACAAGGGGGUUUACGACCUCGAUGUUGGAUCAGGACAUCCUAAUGGUGCAGCCGCUAUUAAGGGUUCGUUUGUUCAACGAUUAAAGUCCUACGUGAUCUGAGUUCAGACCGG